GGCUUCAGGCAACUAUCCGCAAGCCUUUGGAGUGCAGUAGGAGUUCCCACUGUGCUCCAAAGGCUUGUGGAUAGCCGCCUGAAGCC
Podarcis lilfordi (Lilford's wall lizard) is the source of this 86-nucleotide non-coding RNA. The record is from the annotation of a GenBank genome assembly. Lineage: Eukaryota; Metazoa; Chordata; Lepidosauria; Squamata; Lacertidae.